UUUUUCCGACGUUGUAAAAMGACGUUAUGCAUGAAAGUAAUGSUCAUAACUUCCCUCUAGACCUAGCUGCUGUUGAAGCUCCAACAAAUGGCUAAGACUUGUUCUUAGUGUGUAGAAGUUUUUGAAAUAUAGAAAUAUAGAUAAAUAUAAGGAGCAAUAAACCCUCUUUUGAUAGAACAAGAAAGGGUCUAUUGCUCCUUUAUUUUCUUUUCAAUUAGGAGUCCUUUUYUAGUAAUAUUGAACUUACCUAGAUUUUUCUUUCCAUAAAAGAAAGAAGAUAAAAAAAUGAUUGAGAUUCCAUCUUUUGUUUUACAAUUUUGAAAAAAAAAAAUUCAAAUUGAAAAAGUGAAUUCGUAAAUAAAAAAGAAAUAUCAAUUUUUCUUUUUUAUAGUAAAGGGGCGGAUGUAGCCAAGUGGAUCAAGACAGUGGAUUGKGAAUCCMCCAKGCGCGCCGGUGUGAAAUUGUUAUCMGAAA
This 474-nucleotide unclassified non-coding RNA is filed under the name Coleus nitidus. RNAcentral's name for it is "Plectranthus nitidus partial miscellaneous RNA". The record is from RNAcentral. Lineage: Eukaryota; Viridiplantae; Streptophyta; Magnoliopsida; Lamiales; Lamiaceae.